GGGACACCAGGGUGAAUACUUACAGGCCCUGUUCCCCUUCCUUCAUGAAACAGCCUCCUUCGGGCUGGGUCACUGGGCACUGGGGCCUCCCUGGUCUUCCAGGAUUGCAACUUCACAGAAUCCCUUUUCCAUAAGGCACAUGAAAGUGACUGUGACCCGCAACGGGAGCCUUGACAACCAGCCAAUUCAGAACACAGACCUUGACAUCGGAAGGCCCCGAGUUCAAAUCCUGCCUUGCUCCCUUUCAGCUGGAAAGCUGUGGUCAAAUUACUUAGCCUCUCCAAGCCAGUUUUCCCUUCUGCAAAAUGAGGUUACACAAGCUGCCACCUCACAGAAUGAGUCUCACCCACGCCUCUCCAAGCCUCCCAACAGAAGACAGAGGUCCCCCACAGCCAGAGACAUUUCCUGAAGACAUGGGGAACACAGAGGCAGAAACAGCCCAUCCACCCAGGAGCUGUCCCCCACACUGCCGGGAGCCGGCACCCAGAGCCGCCAGGUAAAACUGAGGCCACCUGGUUCAACAUCACCUUUCACAGAAGGGGAAGCAGCCACAGAAAGAAGGGCCUCGUUAAGAAGUGGAACCUGGGACCCCCAAGCGGUGUCUCUCAUCCUGACUGGGGAUCCAGAGUAGGAGGGAGCCUUUGGUGGGACACAAAGGAACAGAACGAGGCACCAACAGCAAGGGGCAAGCAGAUUCAAGGGCCACAGAGGAGAUGGAGGCAAACACCUUCCCCUGGUCAGAGGCUGUGCCUCAGCCCUUCUCCCUGCAUCAGUUUCUCCUUCAGAAGCAUGGGACUACCUCCCAUCUAGUUCUCGUUUCUAAACCUAGGGGAGAUGCUAUCUUUGCUGCAAUAAUCUUAGCCUACAUCUUGGAAUGGAAAUGGCCUUGGUGGAAAUGGUCUUCAACUCCUCUGGUCCAAGCUCAGGCCCUGUGACCCUGGAACAAUCCCCUUCCUGGUCCUCCAUGUAGGAGCAAUAACAUUCCCUUGCCAGCAGCACCAGCCAUUCUGAUGAUUAAAUGGUAUCGGACUCUGUUUUCCAAACUCAGUCAUUCAGAUGCCCCCUAUUUUAUUUCUUCCAUGUCUGCAAAUGAUUAUAAUAUUUUUAAAUGUAGGAUGAGUCCUUUUUAUUACACAUAGAAAUAGCUACUGUAAAUAGCAAACUCUAACACUGUGCCUAAUUAGGAAAUAAAGGUAACCAUAAAUACAGUAAAAAUGAAACAAUGUUAUUAUGGUUUAACCUGAUAGUGUGGCUUGCAAGGCCCUGGGCCUGAAGCCUGGGCAAUAAGUGAGAGUUAGAAAGGUGUCAAAGACAUGAUAGCAGCAAACUGAGGCUUUGUACCCCACGGUAAAUAGGACUGAAAGCAAAUUCACAGGGAGCAACUGAUCCAUUCCACAACAGAAUGCUCCCUGUCAAUUCGCUUUCCAUUCUGUUGUGUCCUGUCUCCCAGCAGAGACUACAAACUCCCCAAAACCACUUACCCACCAGCUGCACGUGAGAAGCCAAAGGUAGUUUAUGUGAAAGGGCUUUGGAAAUAAUCACGCACCAAGUGAAGGCAGAGGACACACCUUGUCAGCUUAGUUCUCAGCAGCAAAUCAUCUCUUUUCCAGGAUAACCCUCCCUGAUUCUUAUUGAAAUCUCUUUGCUGACCACACUAAGCUCUUCUCUCUCAGGGGCAGUGGGAGCCGUGGAGAGUGGAAUAGACCAGCUGUCUGUGACCUGCGAGGGAGUCCAAUGUCGGAAUCACUCCCCAGCCAAAUGCACGGUUUUAAAAAAUCUAUUUAUUUAUU
This 1790-nucleotide long non-coding RNA is filed under the name Homo sapiens (human). RNAcentral's name for it is "non-protein coding CARMN:26". Lineage: Eukaryota; Metazoa; Chordata; Mammalia; Primates; Hominidae. The record is from RNAcentral.